CAGUCGCCACGGUAAUACGGAGGAUCCAAGCGUUAUCCGGAAUCAUUGGGUUUAAAGGGUCCGUAGGCGGUCUUGUAAGUCAGUGGUAAAAGCCCAUCGCUCAACGGUGGAACGGCCAUUGAUACUGCAGGACUUGAAUUAUUGGGAAGUAACUAGAAUAUGUAGUGUAGCGGUGAAAUGCUUAGAGAUUACAUGGAAUACCAAUUGCGAAGGCAGGUUACUACCAAUUGAUUGACGCUGAUGGACGAAAGCGUGGGUAGCGAACAGGAUUAGAUACCCCGGUAGUCCCUGUCUCUUAUAC
This 301-nucleotide ribosomal RNA is filed under the name uncultured bacterium. RNAcentral's name for it is "partial 16S ribosomal RNA". It matches the Rfam family "Bacterial small subunit ribosomal RNA", at positions 509 to 807 of the family's 1533-position model. The record is from RNAcentral.